CUUCUGUUCUGCUCACCCUCUCUAAUCCUUUGUCCUUGGGUGAAAAUGCUGUUUGUAUGCAAUGCACCCGGGCAAGGAUUUGGAGCAGGUGAGCCUGAUCUUCACAGGA
This 109-nucleotide microRNA precursor is filed under the name Microtus ochrogaster (prairie vole). RNAcentral's name for it is "microRNA 501 (ENSMOCG00000009141.1)". The stretch from base 11 to 94 matches the Rfam family "mir-500 microRNA precursor family". Lineage: Eukaryota; Metazoa; Chordata; Mammalia; Rodentia; Cricetidae. The record is from RNAcentral.